Molecule: ribosomal RNA, 490 nt
Filed under: uncultured bacterium
Lineage: Bacteria
Description: partial 16S ribosomal RNA
Rfam family: Bacterial small subunit ribosomal RNA
Source: RNAcentral
AUUGAACGCUGGCGGCAGGCCUAACACAUGCAAGUCGAACGGUAACAGGAAGAAGCUUGCUUCUUUGCUGACGAGUGGGGGACGGGUGAGUAAUGUCUGGGAAACUGCCUGAUGGAGGGGGAUAACUACUGGAAACGGUAGCUAAUACCGCCUAACGUCGCAAGACCAGAGAGGGGGACCUUCGGGCCUCUUGCCAUCGGAUGUGCCCAGAUGGGAUUAGCUAGUAGGUGGGGUAACGGCUCACCUAGGCGACGGUCCCUAGCUGGUCUGAGAGGGUGACCAGCCACACUGGCACUGAGACACGGUCCAGACUCCUACGGGAGGCAGCGGUGGGGAAUAUUGCACGAUGGGCGCAAGCCUGAUGCAGCCAUGCCGCGUGUAUGAAGAAGGCCUUCGGGUUGUAAAGUACUUUCAGCGGGGAGGAAGGGAGUAAAGUUAAGACCUUUACGCAUUGACGUUACCCGCAGAAGAAGCACCGGCUAACUCCGUG